Molecule: ribosomal RNA, 497 nt
Filed under: uncultured bacterium
Lineage: Bacteria
Description: partial 16S ribosomal RNA
Rfam family: Bacterial small subunit ribosomal RNA
Source: RNAcentral
GAUGAACGCUGGCGGCGUGCCUAAUACAUGCAAGUCGAGCGAACGGACGAGAAGCUUGCUUCUCUGAUGUUAGCGGCGGACGGGUGAGUAACACGUGGAUAACCCACCUAUAAGACUGGGAUAACUUCGGGAAACCGGAGCUAAUACCGGAUAAUAUUUUGAACCGCAUGGUUCAAAAGUGAAAGACGGUCUUGCUGUCACUUAUAGAUGGAUCCGCGCUGCAUUAGCUAGUUGGUAAGGUAACGGCUUACCAAGGCAACGAUGCAUAGCCGACCUGAGAGGGUGAUCGGCCACACGAGAACGGAGACACGGUCCAGACUCCUACGGGAGGCAGCAGUAGGGAAUCUUCCGCAAUGGGCGAGAGCCUGACGUAGCAACGCCGCGUGAGUGAUGAAGGUCUUCGGAUCGUAAAACUCUGUUAUUAGGGAAGAACAUAUGUGUAAGUAACUGUGCACAUCUUGACGGUACCUAAUCAGAAAGCCACGGCUAACUACGUG